RNAcentral lists this ribosomal RNA (305 nucleotides) under uncultured bacterium. RNAcentral's name for it is "bacterial SSU rRNA". It matches the Rfam family "Bacterial small subunit ribosomal RNA", at positions 333 to 636 of the family's 1533-position model. The record is from RNAcentral.
UUCGUCCUACGGGGGGCAGCAGUGAGGAAUAUUGGUCAAUGGGCGAGAGCCUGAACCAGCCAAGUCGCGUGAGGGAAGACGGUCCUAUGGAUUGUAAACCUCUUUUGCCGGGGAGCAAGACCCGCCACGAGUGGCGGAGCGAGAGUACCCGAAGAAAAAGCAUCGGCUAACUCCGUGCCAGCAGCCGCGGUAAUACGGAGGAUGCGAGCGUUAUCCGGAUUUAUUGGGUUUAAAGGGUGCGCAGGCGGACCAUCAAGUCAGCGGUAAAAUCGUGGGGCCCAACCCCAUCCCGCCGUUGAAACUGC